RNAcentral lists this ribosomal RNA (475 nucleotides) under uncultured bacterium. RNAcentral describes it as "partial 16S ribosomal RNA". It matches the Rfam family "Bacterial small subunit ribosomal RNA", at positions 355 to 820 of the family's 1533-position model. The record is from RNAcentral.
UGGGGAAUAUUGCACAAUGGGCGCAAGCCUGAUGCAGCCAUGCCGCGUGUGUGAAGAAGGCCUUCGGGUUGUAAAGCACUUUCAGCGAGGAGGAAGGCAUUAAGGUUAAUAACCUUAGUGAUUGACGUUACUCGCAGAAGAAGCACCGGCUAACUCCGUGCCAGCAGCCGCGGUAAUACGGAGGGUGCAAGCGUUAAUCGGAAUUACUGGGCGUAAAGCGCACGCAGGCGGUUUGUUAAGUCAGAUGUGAAAUCCCCGAGCUUAACUUGGGAGCUGCAUUUGAAACUGGCAAGCUAGAGUCUUGUAGAGGGGGGUAGAAUUCCAGGUGUAGCGGUGAAAUGCGUAGAGAUCUGGAGGAAUACCGGUGGCGAAGGCGGCCCCCUGGACAAAGACUGACGCUCAGGUGCGAAAGCGUGGGGCAGCAAACAGGAUUAGAUACCCUGGUAGUCCAGCGCUGUAAACGAUGUCGACUUUG